UUCCAGACUCCUACGGGAGGCAGCAGUGAGGAAUAUUGGUCAAUGGCCGAGAGGCUGAACCAGCCAAGUCGCGUGAGGGAAGAAUGUCCUAUGGAUUGUAAACCUCUUUUGUCAGGGAGCAAAGUCACCCACGUGUGGGUGUUGGAGAGUACCUGAAGAAAAAGCAUCGGCUAACUCCGUGCCAGCAGCCGCGGUAAUACGGAGGAUGCGAGCGUUAUCCGGAUUUAUUGGGUUUAAAGGGUGCGUAGGCGGACGCUUAAGUCAGCGGUAAAAUUGCGGGGCUCAACCUCGUCGAGCCGUUGAAACUGGGUGCCUUGAGUGGGCGAGAAGUACGCGGAAUGCGUGGUGCAGCGGUGAAAUGCAUAGAUAUCACGCAGAACCCCGAUUGCGAAGGCAGCGUACCGGCGCCCAACUGACGCUGAAGCACGAAGGCGUGGGUAUCGAACAGGAUUAGAUACCCGAGUAC
This 466-nucleotide ribosomal RNA is filed under the name uncultured bacterium. Its description in RNAcentral is "bacterial SSU rRNA". It matches the Rfam family "Bacterial small subunit ribosomal RNA", at positions 329 to 793 of the family's 1533-position model. The record is from RNAcentral.